Molecule: unclassified non-coding RNA, 264 nt
Filed under: Tremellales sp.
Lineage: Eukaryota; Fungi; Basidiomycota; Tremellomycetes; Tremellales
Description: partial contains 5.8S ribosomal RNA, internal transcribed spacer 2, and large subunit ribosomal RNA
Source: RNAcentral
CGCACCUUGCACCCUCUGGUAUUCCGGAGGGUAUGCCUGUCUGAGUGUCUUGUAAAUCAUCAUCCCGCCGGGUCCUGCCCGGCGGGGUUGGAGUUGGGUGUUGCCCUUCGUGGGCUCGCCUUAAAUGUAUCGGCGGCCGUCCCGGUCCGUUGUGUGGCGUGAUACGUUUCGCUGCGCGGCGGGCCGGUGGCCUCCUUGAAACCGCCACCUCGUGUGGAAGCAUCGAUUGACCUCAGAUCAGGUAGGACUACCCGCUGAACUUAA